Molecule: ribosomal RNA, 500 nt
Filed under: uncultured bacterium
Lineage: Bacteria
Description: partial 16S ribosomal RNA
Rfam family: Bacterial small subunit ribosomal RNA
Source: RNAcentral
AUUGAACGCUGGCGGCAGGCCUAACACAUGCAAGUCGAGCGGUUGAAGGGAGCUUGCUCCCUGAUUCAGCGGCGGACGGGUGAGUAAUGCCUAGGAAUCUGCCUAUUAGUGGGGGACAACGUUUCGAAAGGAACGCUAAUACCGCAUACGUCCUACGGGAGAAAGCAGGGGACCUUCGGGCCUUGCGCUAAUAGAUGAGCCUAGGUCGGAUUAGCCUGUUGGUGAGGUAAUGGCUCACCAAGGCGACGAUCCGUAACUGGUCUGAGAGGAUGAUCAGUCACACUGGAACUGAGACACGGUCCAGACUCCUACGGGAGGCAGCAGUGGGGAAUAUUGGACAAUGGGCGAAAGCCUGAUCCAGCCAUGCCGCGUGUGUGAAGAAGGUCUUCGGAUUGUAAAGCACUUUAAGUUGGGAGGAAGGGUUGUAGAUUAAUACUCUGCAAUUUUGACGUUACCGACAGAAUAAGCACCGGCUAACUCUGUGCCAGCCGCCGCUGUAA